CUGUUGGGUAGGGGAGCGUUGUGUAAGCGGAAGAAGGUUCAUCGAGAGGUGGGCUGGACGUAUCACAAGUGCGAAUGCUGACAUAAGUAACGAUAAAACGGGUGAAAAACCCGUUCGCCGGAAGACCAAGGGUUCCUGUCCAACGUUAAUCGGGGCAGGGUGAGUCGGCUCCUAAGGCGAGGCUGAAAAGCGUAGUCGAUGGGAAACAGGUUAAUAUUCCUGUACUUGGUAAAGCUGCGAUGUGGGGACGGAGUAGGUUAGGUUAUCGCACUGUUGGAUAUGUGCGUUUAAGUUGGUAGGUGGGAAGUUUAGGCAAAUCCGGACUUCCUUAACACAGAGAGAUGAUGACGAGGCUCUACGGAGCUGAAGUAACUGAUACCACACUUCCAGGAAAAGCCACUAAGCGAAAGGCUUUACUAAACCGUACUGAAAACCGACACAGGUGGUCAGGUAGAGAAUACUCAGGCGCUUGAGAGAACUCGGGUGAAGGAACUAGGCAAAAUAGCACCGUAACUUCGGGAGAAGGUGCGCCGGCGUAGAUUGUAAGGGCUAGCCCCUGAAGGUUGAACCGGUCGAAGAUACCAGCUGGCUGCAACUGUUUAUUAAAAACACAGCACUCUGCAAACACGAAAGUGGACGUAUAGGGUGUGAUGCCUGCCCGGUGCUGGAAGGUUAAUUGAUGGUGUCAUCGAAAGAGAAGCACCUGAUCGAAGCCCCAGUAAACGGCGGCCGUAACUAUAACGGUCCUAAGGUAGCGAAAUUCCUUGUCGGGUAAGUUCCGACCUGCACGAAUGGCAUAAUGAUGGCCAGGCUGUCUCCACCCGAGACUCAGUGAAAUUGAAAUCGCCGUGAAGAUGCGGUGUACCCGCGGCUAGACGGAAAGACCCCGUGAACCUUUACUAUAGCUUGACACUGAACAUUGAAUUUUGAUGUGUAGGAUAGGUGGGAGACUUAGAAGUAGUAACGCCAGUUUCUAUGGAGUCAUCCUUGAAAUACCACCCUUUAACGUUUGAUGUUCUAACGAAGACUACGGAACGUGGUCUCGGACAGUGUCUGGUGGGUAGUUUGACUGGGGCGGUCUCCUCCCAAAGCGUAACGGAGGAGCACGAAGGUUUGCUAAUCACGGUCGGACAUCGUGAGGUUAGUGCAAUGGUAUAAGCAAGCUUAACUGCGAGACAGACAAGUCGAGCAGGUACGAAAGUAGGUCAUAGUGAUCCGGUGGUUCUGAAUGGAAGGGCCAUCGCUCAACGGAUAAAAGGUACUCCGGGGAUAACAGGCUGAUACCGCCCAAGAGUUCAUAUCGACGGCGGUGUUUGGCACCUCGAUGUCGGCUCAUCACAUCCUGGGGCUGAAGUAGGUCCCAAGGGUAUGGCUGUUCGCCAUUUAAAGUGGUACGCGAGCUGGGUUUAGAACGUCGUGAGACAGUUCGGUCCCUAUCUGCCGUGGGCGU
RNAcentral lists this ribosomal RNA (1450 nucleotides) under Haemophilus influenzae. RNAcentral describes it as "bacterial LSU rRNA". It matches the Rfam family "Bacterial large subunit ribosomal RNA", at positions 1221 to 2654 of the family's 2925-position model. The record is from RNAcentral. Lineage: Bacteria; Pseudomonadati; Pseudomonadota; Gammaproteobacteria; Pasteurellales; Pasteurellaceae.